GAGUAAUGUCUGGGAAACUGCCUGAUGGAGGGGGAUAACUACUGGAAACGGUAGCUAAUACCGCAUAACGUCGCAAGACCAAAGAGGGGGACCUUCGGGCCUCUUGCCAUCGGAUGUGCCCAGAUGGGAUUAGCUAGUAGGUGGGGUAACGGCUCACCUAGGCGACGAUCCCUAGCUGGUCUGAGAGGAUGACCAGCCACACUGGAACUGAGACACGGUCCAGACUCCUACGGGAGGCAGCAGUGGGGAAUAUUGCACAAUGGGCGCAAGCCUGAUGCAGCCAUGCCGCGUGUAUGAAGAAGGCCUUCGGGUUGUAAAGUACUUUCAGCGGGGAGGAAGGCGACAGGGUUAAUAACCCUGUCGAUUGACGUUACCCGCAGAAGAAGCACCGGCUAACUCCGUGCCAGCAGCCGCGGUAAUACGGAGGGUGCAAGCGUUAAUCGGAAUUACUGGGCGUAAAGCGCACGCAGGCGGUCUGUCAAGUCGGAUGUGAAAUCCCCGGGCUCAACCUGGGAACUGCAUUCGAAACUGGCAGGCUAGAGUCUUGUAGAGGGGGGUAGAAUUCCAGGUGUAGCGGUGAAAUGCGUAGAGAUCUGGAGGAAUACCGG
RNAcentral lists this ribosomal RNA (608 nucleotides) under Enterobacter hormaechei. Its description in RNAcentral is "bacterial SSU rRNA". It matches the Rfam family "Bacterial small subunit ribosomal RNA", at positions 108 to 712 of the family's 1533-position model. Lineage: Bacteria; Pseudomonadati; Pseudomonadota; Gammaproteobacteria; Enterobacterales; Enterobacteriaceae. The record is from RNAcentral.